CACUGACAUUAGAUACCCGGGUAGUCCCAGCCGUAAACUAUGCGCGUUAGGUGUACUGGUGACCACGAGUCACCGGGUGCCGAAGGGAAACCGUGAAACGUGCCGCCUGGGAAGUACGUCGCAAGGCUGAAACUUAAAGGAAUUGGCGGGGGAGCACCGCAACGGGAGGAGCGUGCGGUUUAAUUGGAUUCAACACCGUAAAACUCACCAGGGAAGACUGUUACAUGAAGGCCGAGAUGAAGACUCUGCUAGAUUUUCAG
RNAcentral lists this ribosomal RNA (260 nucleotides) under uncultured archaeon. RNAcentral describes it as "partial 16S ribosomal RNA". It matches the Rfam family "Archaeal small subunit ribosomal RNA", at positions 722 to 982 of the family's 1478-position model. The record is from RNAcentral.